Molecule: ribosomal RNA, 324 nt
Filed under: uncultured eukaryote
Lineage: Eukaryota
Description: partial 18S ribosomal RNA
Rfam family: Eukaryotic small subunit ribosomal RNA
Source: RNAcentral
CCCUUAGAUGCUCUGGGCCGCACGCGCGCUACACUGGUCGAUGCAACGAGUUUCUUUCCUUGGCCGACAGGCCUGGGCAAUCUUUGAACAUCGAUCGUGAUCGGGAUAGAUUCUUGUAAUUUUUGAUCUUAAACGAGGAAUUCCUAGUAAACGCAAGUCAUCAGCUUGCAUUGAUUACGUCCCUGCCCUUUGUACACACCGCCCGUCGCACCUACCGAUUGAAUGUUUCGGUGAAGAUUCCGGAUAGGACUUUUUUGAUUUAUUUCAAUUCUGUCUUAAAAGCUAUCUAAACCUCAACAUUUAGAGGAAGGUGAAGUCGUAACA